RNAcentral lists this long non-coding RNA (489 nucleotides) under Monodelphis domestica (gray short-tailed opossum). RNAcentral describes it as "lncRNA (ENSMODG00000049863.1)". The record is from RNAcentral. Lineage: Eukaryota; Metazoa; Chordata; Mammalia; Didelphimorphia; Didelphidae.
GUAAUAUAUUAUGAGGGCAAAGGAGAGGUCCAGACAAGGUGCUAAAAGAAAUCUGUAGGGAUAGAUCACUUUCAGCUGUGGGGGUCAAGGAACAUUUUAUAGAAAGAGGAACAUCUGAGCUGGGCUUAAAGGAAAGAGACCAUAGCUGGCAAAAAUGUGGAAAUAGUGUUUUCAAGGAAUGGGGAACAGCUUGCAAAUACAAGGAAUAAGAAGACAGAUGAGAUCAGAGAAAGUCUGGUAGACUUGGGUAAUGUCUGUGUAUGCCCAUGUAGAGGAAUCCCUUCCAGCUUUAAGCCUAUCAUGCAAUUCUAUAAUACUAUGAUCUCUUCUGCGAAGGAAAAAAAGGUGAUUGCCUUCAGAUGGGGAAAACAAACCAACCUUUCAAAGAAUGGAGAAGCAAUGUCAAAAGUUUGGGAAACUGGCAAUGGGCAGUUUUUUUCUGAAACUUUCUGGUUCUUGAUUACAGCAAUGACAAGAUCUGUGAUUUAG